AGGACGAACGCUGGCGGCACGCCUAACACAUGCAAGUCGAACGGAGAAUUGAGAGCUUGCUCUUAAUUCUUAGUGGCGGACGGGUGAGUAACACGUGAGCAACCUGCCUCUGAGAGAGGGAUAGCUUCUGGAAACGGAUGGUAAUACCUCAUAACAUAACGAAACCGCAUGAUUUUGUUAUCAAAGAUUUAUCACUCAGAGAUGGGCUCGCGUCUGAUUAGGUAGUUGGUGAGGUAACGGCUCACCAAGCCGACGAUCAGUAGCCGGACUGAGAGGUUGAACGGCCACAUUGGGACUGAGACACGGCCCAGACUCCUACGGGAGGCAGCAGUGAGGGAUAUUGCACAAUGGAGGAAACUCUGAUGCAGCGAUGCCGCGUGGAGGAAGAAGGUUUUCGGAUUGUAAACUCCUGUUUCGAGGGACGAUAAUGACGGUACCUCGGGAGGAAGCUCCGGCUAACUACGUGCCAGCCGCGGC
Molecule: ribosomal RNA, 477 nt
Filed under: uncultured bacterium
Lineage: Bacteria
Description: bacterial SSU rRNA
Rfam family: Bacterial small subunit ribosomal RNA
Source: RNAcentral